UACGGAGGGUGCAAGCGUUAUCCGGAUUUACUGGGUUUAAAGGGUGUGUAGGCGGGUCUUUAAGUCAGUGGUGAAAUCUCCGAGCUCAACUUGGAAACUGCCAUUGAUACUAUUGAUCUUGAAUUCUGUUGAGGUGGGCGGAAUAAGUCAUGUAGCGGUGAAAUGCUUAGAUAUGACACAGAACACCGAUUGCGAAGGCAGCUCACUAAACUAAUACUGACGCUGAGGCACGAAAGCAUGGGGAGCAAACAGG
This 253-nucleotide ribosomal RNA is filed under the name uncultured bacterium. RNAcentral's name for it is "partial 16S ribosomal RNA". It matches the Rfam family "Bacterial small subunit ribosomal RNA", at positions 524 to 776 of the family's 1533-position model. The record is from RNAcentral.